GAUGAACGCUGGCGGCGUGCCUAAUACAUGCAAGUCGAGCGAACAGACGAGGAGCUUGCUCCUCUGACGUUAGCGGCGGACGGGUGAGUAACACGUGGAUAACCUACCUAUAAGACUGGGAUAACUUCGGGAAACCGGAGCUAAUACCGGAUAAUAUAUUGAACCGCAUGGUUCAAUAGUGAAAGACGGUUUUGCUGUCACUUAUAGAUGGAUCCGCGCCGCAUUAGCUAGUUGGUAAGGUAACGGCUUACCAAGGCAACGAUGCGUAGCCGACCUGAGAGGGUGAUCGGCCACACUGGAACUGAGACACGGUCCAGACUCCUACGGGAGGCAGCAGUAGGGAAUCUUCCGCAAUGGGCGAAAGCCUGACGGAGCAACGCCGCGUGAGUGAUGAAGGUCUUCGGAUCGUAAAACUCUGUUAUUAGGGAAGAACAAAUGUGUAAGUAACUAUCCACGUCUUGACGGUACCUAAGCAGAAAGCCACGGCUAACUACGU
This 496-nucleotide ribosomal RNA is filed under the name uncultured bacterium. RNAcentral's name for it is "partial 16S ribosomal RNA". It matches the Rfam family "Bacterial small subunit ribosomal RNA", at positions 28 to 506 of the family's 1533-position model. The record is from RNAcentral.